AACGAACGCUGGCGGCGUGCCUAACACAUGCAAGUCGUGCGAGAAAGUUCCUUCGGGAGCGAGUAAAGCGGCGCACGGGUGAGUAACACGUAGGUAACCUGCCCCCCAGUCUGGAACAACUAGAGGAAACUCUAGCUAAUGCCGGAUGAGACCACGAUCCCUUCGGGGGUUGCGGCCAAAGAUGGCCUCUACUUGUAAGCUAUCGCUGAGGGAUGGGCCUGCGGGCCAUUAGCUUGUUGGUGAGGUAACGGCUCACCAAGGCUGUGAUGGCUAGCUGGUCUGAGAGGAUGACCAGCCACACUGGGACUGAGACACGGCCCAGACUCCUACGGAGGCAGCAGUGGGGAAUAUUGCGCAAUGGGCGAAGCCUGACGCAGCGACGCCGCGUGGGUGAUGAAGGCCU
RNAcentral lists this ribosomal RNA (403 nucleotides) under uncultured bacterium. Its description in RNAcentral is "bacterial SSU rRNA". It matches the Rfam family "Bacterial small subunit ribosomal RNA", at positions 29 to 417 of the family's 1533-position model. The record is from RNAcentral.